UACGAAGGGUGCAAGCGUUAGUCGGAAUUACUGGGCGUAAAGCGUGCGUAGGUGGUUUCUUAAGUCCGUUGUGAAAGCCCUGGGCUCAACCUGGGAACUGCAGUGGAUACUGAGAGGCUAGAGUGUGUCAGAGGAUGGUGGAAUUCCCGGUGUAGCGGUGAAAUGCGUAGAGAUCGGGAGGAACAUCAGUGGCGAAGGCGGCCAUCUGGGACAACACUGACGCUGAGGCACGAAAGCGUGGGGAGCAAACAGGG
RNAcentral lists this ribosomal RNA (254 nucleotides) under uncultured bacterium. RNAcentral describes it as "partial 16S ribosomal RNA". It matches the Rfam family "Bacterial small subunit ribosomal RNA", at positions 524 to 777 of the family's 1533-position model. The record is from RNAcentral.